Molecule: ribosomal RNA, 492 nt
Filed under: uncultured bacterium
Lineage: Bacteria
Description: bacterial SSU rRNA
Rfam family: Bacterial small subunit ribosomal RNA
Source: RNAcentral
GAUGAACGCUAGCGGCAGGCCUAACACAUGCAAGUCGAGGGGCAUCAUGGCGUAGCAAUACGCUGAUGGCGACCGGCGCACGGGUGCGUAACGCGUAUGGAACCUACCCACCGCAGGGGGAUAACCCGCCGAAAGGCGGACUAAUACCCCAUGGUUCCCCGACCCUGCCUGGGGUUGGGGGUAAAGCCUACGGGCGGCGGUGGAUGGCCCUGCGUGCCAUUAGCUGGCUGGUGGGUAACGCCCACAGGGCAACGAUGGCUAGGGGGUCUGAGAGGAUGGUCCCCCACACUGGUACUGAGACACGGACCAGACUCCUACGGGAGGCAGCAGUGGGGAAUAUUGCACAAUGGGCGAAAGCCUGAUGCAGCGACGCCGCGUGAGGGAAGACGGUCUUCGGAUUGUAAACCUCUGUCUUCGGUGACGACCAAAGACGGUAGCCGAGGAGGAAGCCACGGCUAACUACGUGCCAGCAGCCGCGGUAAACCGAGAGUA